CUGGCGGCAGGCCUAACACAUGCAAGUCGAGCGCACCUUCGGGUGAGCGGCGGACGGGUUAGUAACGCGUGGGAACGUGCCCUUCUCUAAGGAAUAGCCUCGGGAAACUGAGAGUAAUACCUUAUACGCCCUUCGGGGGAAAGAUUUAUCGGAGAAGGAUCGGCCCGCGUUAGAUUAGAUAGUUGGUGGGGUAACGGCCUACCAAGUCUACGAUCUAUAGCUGGUUUGAGAGGAUGAUCAGCAACACUGGGACUGAGACACGGCCCAGACUCCUACGGGAGGCAGCAGUGGGGAAUCUUGGACAAUGGGCGCAAGCCUGAUCCAGCCAUGCCGCGUGAGUGACGAAGGCCUUAGGGUCGUAAAGCUCUUUCGCCAGGGAUGAUAAUGACAGUAUCUGGUAAAGAAACCCCGGCUAACUCCGUGCCAGCAGCCGCGGUAAUACGGAGGGGGUUAGCGUUGUUCGGAAUUACUGGGCGUAAAGCGCACGUAGGCGGACUGGAAAGUUGGGGGUGAAAUCCCGGGGCUCAACCUCGGAACUGCCUCCAAAACCAUCAGUCUAGAGUUCGAGAGAGGUGAGUGGAAUUCCAAGUGUAGAGGUGAAAUUCGUAGAUACUUGGAGGAACACCAGUGGCGAAGGCGGCUCACUGGCUCGAUACUGACGCUGAGGUGCGAAAGUGUGGGGAGCAAACAGG
Molecule: ribosomal RNA, 692 nt
Filed under: uncultured marine bacterium
Lineage: Bacteria
Description: bacterial SSU rRNA
Rfam family: Bacterial small subunit ribosomal RNA
Source: RNAcentral